UUUCUUUUUUUUUUUUUUUCCUCCGAGGCUGCACUUUGGAAGAGGUGCAGUCAUUCCUACCCACACCCCCUACCCUCUCUCCACUCCCCCAACUAUAAAUUCCCUUCUGUAGCAUGCUGCCCUUUUGUAAUCCACAUUUGUGUUUCAGAUCAUGUAGAAAGGACAGAAAGUGAGCAGGGAGCGGGGGCUUUUGUCUAUUGUUCUCCUUGUGCUACUUGAGAGAAACUGCAAUCCCAAGACUUAACAGAACCUAAAAAUGUUUUGGAGAACAUAGACAGAAAUUUACUGGAGGAACAAAGUAAUUCGCAGCCAUUUUAUUGCUUGAUGGAACUUUCCACAUAAUAUACAUUUGUUUUUUAUUUUCUCUGAAAUAAAUGUAUUCUUUCUCUUUCAAGGAGUGCAAUACUCUGGUAAUAGUUUACUCUUAGUAAAAUUAAUUAAUUCGGUAAGAAGUUGGAGGAGCAUUUAUGACUGUGUUCACAAUGUACUGCUUAAUUUUUUUUCUCUUAUUCUUUGUAUGCAUGGUAAAUAUUAACAAUGUUUUGCAAUGAUUUUUGUGUAUUAAUGAAAUAAAAAAGCAGCAUGACACUUGUAGCACACAAGCAGGAUUAAUCCUAGCUGGUGCAGAAAUGUGAAAAUUGAUCUCUCUUCCUAAAAAUUGCAUCAC
Long non-coding RNA from Pyrgilauda ruficollis (rufous-necked snowfinch), 667 nucleotides. RefSeq lists it as uncharacterized. The record is from RefSeq and is a predicted model, not a curated record. NCBI's taxonomy places the organism in Eukaryota, Metazoa, Chordata, Aves, Passeriformes, Passeridae. The transcript has 3 exons.